Molecule: long non-coding RNA, 949 nt
Organism: Leptopilina heterotoma
Lineage: Eukaryota; Metazoa; Arthropoda; Insecta; Hymenoptera; Figitidae
Exons: 3
Source: RefSeq, a predicted model, not a curated record
GAAAAACGAUUUAAUUAUUUAUUUAUACCAUUUAUACAAUUGUAUAAAAAUAGUUCAUAGGCGAGAAAAAUAAAUAAUUUUAAAUAUGACGGCGGGAAACUUUGACCAAUCAGAUUUUAAGAUAAAUUUAUCCUUGUUGCCAACCUAAUCUUCUUUUGAAUUUUGAAAUAUUUAAAUUAUUUAAUAAUAAUAUUUACAUUAUGAUAAUAAAUAUUAUUCACUUAUAACAAUAUUUUCAAAUGUUUUUGAAGCAAUAAGUAAUAAUAAAAUAGUAUAAUUUUAAAUAUUAGUUUAAUUUUCUCUCUGCUCGCCUUGAAGAAAAAUUCAGUCAUAAACAAUUGGCAACAGUGGAGUGUCACAUCAGUUGAAAAUUCCGGAAAGUUCUAAAAUGUUUACAAGUGUUUAUAGUUUUUAUUUUAUAGAUAUUUUUAUUCUUCAAAACGAUUAAAACAGUCCAAAUGUCAAGAAUUUUAGAAUAGAUAUUUCAGAUAGUGAAAAUAAUUUUUAAUUUUCUUGCAAGAUGUGAAAGUUUUAAUGCACGAAAUAAGUUUCAUUAUAUGUACAAAGAGGAGUUUAUGCAUUUUGAGGUUAGAAAAUGUGACACCGGUUUUUUUUUGUCGAUGGAGAUCCGGCUUUUUAUACCUCAACCACAAAAGGCCGCUUACUGACAUCGCAAUGAAUAAUGAUUCAACGAAACUCACGUAAUUGAUUAAUGCAUAAACGUCAUUUAUUAAUAAAAGGGCCAAUGUUAUGAUGCACUGAAACCAUAAUAAAGGAGAAAAAAAAUGGAUAAGAUGGAUGCAAAUAAUAAAAAAAGAUUGAAAGGAAAUUCUUUAUACCUGUAUGGAUCCUUUAGCUCUUCGGUGACGUAAUUAAGAUAAUUCCAACCGGAAUAUGAAAAAAGACCGCUGUACAUAGCGAGAGCAAUUGAUGCUGGAUUUGUAUUUGA